ACGUAGGGGGCGAGCGUUGUCCGGAAUUACUGGGCGUAAAGGGUGCGUAGGUGGCCUUUUAAGUUGGAUGUGAAAUACCCGGGCUUAACUUGGGGGGUGCAUCUAAUACUGGGAGGCUAGAGUGCAGGAGAGGGAAGCGGAAUUCCUAGUGUAGCGGUGAAAUGAGUGGAUAUUAGGAGGAACACCGGUGGCGAAGGCGGCUUUCUGGAUUGUAACUGCCACUGAGGCACGAAAGGGUGGGGAGAGAACUG
Molecule: ribosomal RNA, 251 nt
Filed under: uncultured prokaryote
Description: partial 16S rRNA
Rfam family: Bacterial small subunit ribosomal RNA
Source: RNAcentral